This 242-nucleotide ribosomal RNA is filed under the name uncultured Bacteroidota bacterium. Its description in RNAcentral is "uncultured Bacteroidetes bacterium partial 16S ribosomal RNA". It matches the Rfam family "Bacterial small subunit ribosomal RNA", at positions 796 to 1041 of the family's 1533-position model. Lineage: Bacteria; Pseudomonadati; Bacteroidota. The record is from RNAcentral.
CACGCUGUAAACGAUGAUUACUCGAUGUUGGCGAUAUACAGUCAGCGUCUAAGCGAAAGCAAUAAGUAAUCCACCUGGGGAGUACGAUCGCAAGGUUGAAACUCAAAGGAAUUGACGGGGGCCCGCACAAGCGGAGGAGCAUGUGGUUUAAUUCGAUGAUACGCGAGGAACCUUACCUGGGCUUGAAUGCUAUACUUCGCAAGAAGGUGUCUGCAGAAAUGUAGAUGAAAAUUGCAAGGUGC